Long non-coding RNA from Onychomys torridus (southern grasshopper mouse), 665 nucleotides. RefSeq lists it as uncharacterized. The record is from RefSeq and is a predicted model, not a curated record. Lineage: Eukaryota; Metazoa; Chordata; Mammalia; Rodentia; Cricetidae. The transcript is spliced from 3 exons.
CCCUCUUCUGUUCCUUCUUCUGCAUCUUCCACUAGCUCAACAUUGGUCCCUGCUCUACCCCAGAGCAUCACAUUCCUUUCCCAACUCUAUUCCCUGUUCUGAAGAAGCUGUAUGUGAGCUCCUAAAUCAAGUCCUUCUAGCACAGAGCCUUCUAUUAAAGGCAGAGGAGGGGUUCACCUCCCCAAGGCAAUGUGCCUGACAACUCAGGUCUCCUGAGGGCCAAAGAGCCUGGGUGGAGCUGUUGGAUUUUCAAGGGAGCUGGAGCAAGCAGCAGGCUUUAAGCAUUCAGAUGCCCAGGCUGCGUCUUCACUCUGGCUGUUUUAAGAACCUGCGCUGCCAUUAACCUCUUCAAAGAUGCGUGGAUGCAACAUGUAGGGUCUGGGAUCUCCAGGUUUAAUGUUUACUGGGGGAGACCCUGGACUUCAAUCUGCUUGGGCCCCUUCUCUUGUUUGCUUCCUUUCCAGGGUCUCCGGUAGAGCUCCUAGGGACAGAGGAAUAAUUUGCAUUGCUAAUAGCCCAAGCUCCACUCCCCUUGUCUCCCAGGCUGAACUGCAGACACACAGGCCUCACAUGGAUGCUGUGCACACAAAGACUGAGCCCAGCAGACAGAAACAGAUUAGGGGGAAGCAGACAGGGUUGGAGCUAGAGAGAGACACGGAUUCAUA